Molecule: ribosomal RNA, 1170 nt
Filed under: Triticum aestivum (bread wheat)
Lineage: Eukaryota; Viridiplantae; Streptophyta; Magnoliopsida; Poales; Poaceae
Description: partial small subunit ribosomal RNA
Source: RNAcentral
AUGGACGCGUUCACGGGCGCGGUGCGGGCCUUGCUGACCCGGGUUCCUCCCGCCGAGGGCGUGUGCGGGAGUAGUGCCCUCAAGGUCCUUUUCCUCAGCUUCUACACGUCUUCCCCUCACCUGAGCUCCAUUGGCCGCCUCGUCGAGGGCAUCGUGAGCUUGGGCCAGACUGAAUGCCUUGAGUUUUGCAUAUCCCCGGCACCCCCCGACCGGCGGGGCUGCGAGAUUGUGAUUGGGCAGGAGUUCAAGGCCUUCUCCCGCGCCUACCCAGUCGCCUUCUCGUGGCUCACCAGGCUUACGCUCGAAUAUCAUGCUUUUGGAAAUUCAGGCAUCACUGACCUCAUUAGCACUUGCUGUAGGCUCAGGCACCUCAACCUGAGAUUCUGCACACUGGUUGAUUCGCAGUCCACACUCAAGAUCGAUGUGCCAUGCUCUGAGCUCCAGGAGCUUGAGUUCACCGGCUUUCGGUGCGCGCGGAUUGAGCUUGUCUCUGUCCCGAAGCUUAGGCAAGUGGUAUGCCAACAUUGGCCCUUCGAGAACCCUCCAGUGCGCUUCGGCUACGUUCCUGAGCUUCGCGGUGUAAUGCUCUAUUCUAAAGCCAAGGCAGGGCAAGAGCCAUUUGCGUUGAGCGACUGCCUGCCAAGGAGUGCCAGGAAUCUGUCAACACUGACUCUGUGUUUUGGGGACCAAAUGAUUUGGAUUCAGCCAGAACAUCCGAAGCAGCUCACUCCUAUAUUCAGAAACCUGGCCACUGUGUUUCUUUUCGGUAUCUUCAGUGAGUGUGAGCUGAGCUGGACACUGUUUAUCCUUGAAGCUGCACCUGCCCUACAGGAUUUUGCAUUAUCUCGACAUUCAUGUAUCAAGACGCCCGAGUACAGUGCCGAGAAGACCAACGUGGUGUGGGAGCCAUCCAAGGAUUUGAAGCACCUGAACUUAAAGGGGCUGCAUAUCUUCGGGUGCGAGGAUGAAGACAAGGUGAGAAACUAUAUAAGGCUUGUCAUGGAACGAGCUGUGGGGCUGUUGAUAAUCGAGCUGUAUGGUGAAAACCCAUGCAUUUACUGUGAUGCCACCAACCUUGAAAGAUCCAAGGCGGAAAAAGCUAGCAGGCAUCGGAUUAUGGAGCAACUCACACAUGGAUCAUCUUCAUCCGUGGAGAUAAUCAUCUGUUGA